This 377-nucleotide unclassified non-coding RNA is filed under the name uncultured Actinomycetes bacterium. RNAcentral's name for it is "uncultured actinobacterium contains 16S-23S intergenic spacer region". The record is from RNAcentral. Lineage: Bacteria; Bacillati; Actinomycetota; Actinomycetes.
UCCGAGUUGUCCCCGGCAGUCCUCUUAGAGUCCCCGGCAUUACCCGCUGGCAACUAAGAGCAGGGGUUGCGCUCGUUGCGGCACUUAAGGCAACACCUCACGGCACGAGCUGACGACAGCCAUGCACCACCUGUGCAGGCUCCGAAGAGCACCCGCUUUCACGGGUUUCACCCUGCAUGUCAAGCCCAGGUAAGGUUCUUCGGGUUGCAUCGAAUUAAGCCGCAUGCUCCGCCGCUUGUGCGGGGACCCGUCAAUUCCUUUGAGUUUUAGCCUUGCGGCCGUACUCCCCAGGCGGGAUACUUAAUGCGUUAGCUUCGGCACGGCAGUCAUUGGUAAGACCGCCACACCUAGUUCGCACCGGUUACGGCCAGGACUAC